This 540-nucleotide ribosomal RNA is filed under the name Altica cyanea. Its description in RNAcentral is "partial large subunit ribosomal RNA". It matches the Rfam family "Bacterial large subunit ribosomal RNA", at positions 1796 to 2609 of the family's 2925-position model. Lineage: Eukaryota; Metazoa; Arthropoda; Insecta; Coleoptera; Chrysomelidae. The record is from RNAcentral.
UCGCCUGUUUUUCAAAAACAUGGCCUAUUGAAAGAUAAUUUUAGGUCUUACCUGCCCACUGAGAAUUUAAAUGGCCGCAGUAUUUUGACUGUGCUAAGGUAGCAUAAUCAUUAGUUUUUUAAUUGAAAGCUAGAAUGAAGGGUUUGAUGAAAAAAAAACUGUCUUUUGAUAAUUAAAUUAAAAUUUUAUUAUUAAGUUAAAAAGCUUAAAUUUUUUUAAAAGACGAGAAGACCCUAUAGAGUUUGAUUUUUUUUAUUUUAUAUAAUGUUUAGAAUUUAAAAUUAUAUUUUUUAUAAAAAUUUAAUUGGGGUGAUUGAAAAAUUUAAUAAACUUUUUUUAUUUUUAUUUAUAAAUUUAUAUAUUUUUGAUCCAUAUAAAUGAUUAUAAGAUUAAAUUACCUUAGGGAUAACAGCGUAAUUUUAUUGGAGAGUUCAAAUCGAUAAUAAAGAUUGCGACCUCGAUGUUGGAUUAAAAUUAAAUUUUGGUGUAGCAGCUAAAAGAUUAAGUCUGUUCGACUUUAAAAAUUUUACAGGAUCUGAG